UACACGACUCUCGGCAAUGGAUAUCUCGGCUCUUGCAUCGAUGAAGAGCGCAGCGAAAUGCGAUACGUGGUGCGAAUUGCAGAAUCCCGUGAACCAUCGAGUCUUUGAACGCAAGUCGCGUCUGAGGCCAGCCGGCCAAGGGCACGUCUGCCUGGGCGUCAGGC
Molecule: ribosomal RNA, 164 nt
Filed under: Aspasia lunata
Lineage: Eukaryota; Viridiplantae; Streptophyta; Magnoliopsida; Asparagales; Orchidaceae
Also listed under: 1 other name
Description: 5.8S ribosomal RNA
Rfam family: 5.8S ribosomal RNA
About the family: 5.8S ribosomal RNA (5.8S rRNA) is a component of the large subunit of the eukaryotic ribosome. It is transcribed by RNA polymerase I as part of the 45S precursor that also contains 18S and 28S rRNA.
Source: RNAcentral